Molecule: non-coding RNA, 71 nt
Organism: Potamilus streckersoni
Lineage: Eukaryota; Metazoa; Mollusca; Bivalvia; Unionida; Unionidae
Source: the annotation of a GenBank genome assembly
GUUGGUAGUUUUAGCGGGAGAGUGUCGGACUUGCAUUCCAAUGGUAACUGGUUUGAAACCAGUUCAGGCCA